RNAcentral lists this ribosomal RNA (253 nucleotides) under uncultured bacterium. Its description in RNAcentral is "partial 16S ribosomal RNA". It matches the Rfam family "Bacterial small subunit ribosomal RNA", at positions 524 to 776 of the family's 1533-position model. The record is from RNAcentral.
UACGUAGGGGGCAAGCGUUGUCCGGAAUCAUUGGGCGUAAAGAGCGUGUAGGCGGCUUCGUCAGUCCGUUGUGAAAGUCCAGGGCUCAACCCUGGAAUGCCGAUGGAUACUGCGGAGCUUGAGUACGGAAGAGGCGAGUGGAAUUCCUGGUGUAGCGGUGAAAUGCGCAGAUAUCAGGAGGAACACCUAUGGCGAAGGCAGCUCGCUGGGACGUUACUGACGCUGAGACGCGAAAGCGUGGGGAGCAAACAGG